Molecule: transfer RNA, 71 nt
Organism: Loxodonta africana (African savanna elephant)
Lineage: Eukaryota; Metazoa; Chordata; Mammalia; Proboscidea; Elephantidae
Rfam family: tRNA
About the family: Transfer RNA (tRNA) molecules are approximately 80 nucleotides in length.
Source: Rfam
ACAUUGGUGGUUUAGUGGUAGAAUUCUCACCUUCCACACGGGAUACCCGGGUUCAAUUCCCGGCCAAUGCA